RNAcentral lists this ribosomal RNA (106 nucleotides) under Novilysobacter luteus. The record is from RNAcentral. Lineage: Bacteria; Pseudomonadati; Pseudomonadota; Gammaproteobacteria; Lysobacterales; Lysobacteraceae.
AGUGACAAUAGCUGUGUGGAACCACCCGAUCCCAUCCCGAACUCGGAAGUGAAACGCACAUGCGCCGAUGGUAGUGUGGCCUUGCCAUGCGAGAGUAGGUCAUCGC